AAGUCGUAACAAGGUUUCCGUAGGUGAACCUGCGGAAGGAUCAUUAUAGUAUUUGCCAGCGCUUCGGUGCGCGGCGAUUCCUACACGCUUGUGUAAGCUUUUGAAUUUGCUUUGGGCUGUGCGGGGCGAGUUAGCGAGCGUUAGCGAGCUAGUGAGCCUGGCGAGCCUGGCGUGUCUAGGCACCCAGCCCAGAGAUUUUAAACACAGAGAUUUAUUCUUUCUAACCACAGUCAUAACCAGAAUACAAAUAUUCAAAACUUUCAACAACGGAUCUCUUGGUUCUC
Molecule: unclassified non-coding RNA, 284 nt
Filed under: fungal sp.
Lineage: Eukaryota; Fungi
Also listed under: 1 other name
Description: partial internal transcribed spacer region
Rfam family: Eukaryotic small subunit ribosomal RNA (bases 1-46)
Source: RNAcentral